AGCAGUAGCCGCGGGAAUACGGAGGGGGCUAGCGUUGUUCGGAAUUACUGGGCGUAAAGCGCACGUAGGCGGCUUUGUAAGUUAGAGGUGAAAGCCCGGAGCUCAACUCCGGAAUUGCCUUUAAGACUGCAGAGCUAGCAGGUGAGAGAGGUGAGUGGAAUUCCGAGUGUAGAGGUGAAAUUCGUAGAUAUUCGGAAGAACACCAGUGGCGAAGGCGGCUCACUGGCUCAUACUGGACGCUGAGGUGCGAAAACGUGGGGAGCAAACAGGAUUAGAUACCCCAGUAGUCCCUGUCUCUUAUAA
This 303-nucleotide ribosomal RNA is filed under the name uncultured bacterium. RNAcentral describes it as "partial 16S ribosomal RNA". It matches the Rfam family "Bacterial small subunit ribosomal RNA", at positions 507 to 809 of the family's 1533-position model. The record is from RNAcentral.